This 474-nucleotide ribosomal RNA is filed under the name uncultured organism. Its description in RNAcentral is "partial 16S ribosomal RNA". It matches the Rfam family "Bacterial small subunit ribosomal RNA", at positions 333 to 798 of the family's 1533-position model. The record is from RNAcentral.
ACACUCCUACGGGAGGCAGCAGUGGGGAAUUUUGGACAAUGGGCGAAAGCCUGAUCCAGCAAUGCCGCGUGAGUGAAGAAGGCCUUCGGGUUGUAAAGCUCUUUUGUCAGGGAAGAAACGGUGAGAGCUAAUAUCUCUUGCUAAUGACGGUACCUGAAGAAUAAGCACCGGCUAACUACGUGCCAGCAGCCGCGGUAAUACGUAGGGUGCAAGCGUUAAUCGGAAUUACUGGGCGUAAAGCGUGCGCAGGCGGUUUUGUAAGUCUGAUGUGAAAUCCCCGGGCUCAACCUGGGAAUUGCAUUGGAGACUGCAAGGCUAGAAUCUGGCAGAGGGGGGUAGAAUUCCACGUGUAGCAGUGAAAUGCGUAGAUAUGUGGAGGAACACCGAUGGCGAAGGCAGCCCCCUGGGUCAAGAUUGACGCUCAUGCACGAAAGCGUGGGGAGCAAACAGGAUUAGAUACCCUGGUAGUCCCAU